Molecule: small nuclear RNA, 197 nt
Filed under: Octopus bimaculoides (California two-spot octopus)
Lineage: Eukaryota; Metazoa; Mollusca; Cephalopoda; Octopoda; Octopodidae
Description: U2 spliceosomal RNA
Rfam family: U2 spliceosomal RNA
About the family: U2 is a small nuclear RNA (snRNA) component of the spliceosome (involved in pre-mRNA splicing). Complementary binding between U2 snRNA (in an area lying towards the 5' end but 3' to hairpin I) and the branchpoint sequence (BPS) of the intron results the bulging out of an unpaired adenosine, on the BPS, which initiates a nucleophilic attack at the intronic 5' splice site, thus starting the first of two transesterification reactions that mediate splicing.
Source: RNAcentral
AUCGCUUCUCGGUCUUUCAGCCAAGAUCAAAAGUGUAGUAUCUUGUUAUUAGCUUUAUAUCCGAUAUAUUCCUAAUUUGGCGAACUUCGAUAUUAAACUGAUUUUUGAUUACCGCCGAUGUGUUGGAGCUUGCUCUAACUUUGCCACGAGUAGACCUGAUUGAUAUUGCAGGACAUCCAGGUGUUUGGUUACGUAAC